RNAcentral lists this ribosomal RNA (439 nucleotides) under uncultured bacterium. RNAcentral describes it as "partial 16S ribosomal RNA". It matches the Rfam family "Bacterial small subunit ribosomal RNA", at positions 338 to 794 of the family's 1533-position model. The record is from RNAcentral.
CCUACGGGAGGCAGCAGUGAGGAAUUUUCCGCAAUGGGCGAAAGCCUGACGGAGCGACGCCGUGUGGGUGACGAAGUCCUUCGGGAUGUAAAGCCCUGUCAGGGGGGAAGAUAAUGACGGUACCCCCAGAGGAAGCCCCGGCUAACUACGUGCCAGCAGCCGCGGUAAAACGUAGGGGGCAAGCGUUGUCCGGAAUUAUUGGGCGUAAAGCGCGUGCAGGCGGCGACGUAAGUCGGAGGUUAAAGGUAUGGGCUCAACCCAUAUUGGGCCUUCGAUACUGCGUUGCUCGAGAGCAGGAGAGGGAAGCGGAACUUCCGGUGUAGCGGUGAAAUGCGUAGAUAUCGGAAGGAACACCAGUGGCGAAGGCGGCUUCCUGGACUGCUUCUGACGCUGAGACGCGAAAGCUAGGGGAGCGAACGGGAUUAGAUACCCCUGUAGU